This 253-nucleotide ribosomal RNA is filed under the name uncultured bacterium. RNAcentral describes it as "partial 16S ribosomal RNA". It matches the Rfam family "Bacterial small subunit ribosomal RNA", at positions 524 to 776 of the family's 1533-position model. The record is from RNAcentral.
UACGGAGGUGGCAAGCGUUGCUCGGAAUCACUGGGCGUAAAGCGCACGUAGGCGGAUUUGCCAGUCAGGGGUGAAAUCCCGGGGCUCAACCUCGGAACUGCCUUUGAUACUGGUAGUCUCGAGUCCGGAAGAGGUGAGUGGAAUUCCGAGUGUAGAGGUGAAAUUCGUAGAUAUUCGGAGGAACACCAGUGGCGAAGGCGGCUCACUGGUCCGGUACUGACGCUGAGGUGCGAAAGCGUGGGGAGCAAACAGG